Molecule: ribosomal RNA, 440 nt
Filed under: uncultured bacterium
Lineage: Bacteria
Description: partial 16S ribosomal RNA
Rfam family: Bacterial small subunit ribosomal RNA
Source: RNAcentral
CCUACGGGUGGCAGCAGUAAGGGAUAUUGGUCAAUGGGGGAAACCCUGAACCAGCAACGCCGCGUGAGGGAAGACGGUUUUCGGAUUGUAAACCUCUGUCCUCUGUGAAGUAGAUGACGGUAGCUGAGUAGGAAUGUCCGGCUAACUACGUGCCAGCAGCCGCGGUAAUACGUAGGGAGCGACCGUUGUCCGGAUUUACUGGGUGUAAAGGGUGCGUAGGCGGCUUGGCAAGUCAGUAGUGAAAUCCAUGGGCGUAACCCGUGAACUGCUAUUGAAACUGUCGUGCUUGAGUGAAGUAGAGGUAGGCGGAAUGCCCGGUGUAGCGGUGAAAUGCGUAGAGAUCAGGAGGAACACCAGUGGCGAAGGCGGCCUACUGGGCUUUAACUGACGCUGAGGCGCGAAAGCGUGGGUAGCAAACAGGAUUAGAUACCCGGGUAGUC